RNAcentral lists this ribosomal RNA (305 nucleotides) under uncultured bacterium. RNAcentral's name for it is "bacterial SSU rRNA". It matches the Rfam family "Bacterial small subunit ribosomal RNA", at positions 338 to 640 of the family's 1533-position model. The record is from RNAcentral.
CCUACGGGGGGCAGCAGUGAGGAAUAUUGGUCAAUGGGCGGAAGCCUGAACCAGCCAAGUCGCGUGAGGGAAUAAGGCCCUACGGGUCGUAAACCUCUCUUGCCGGGGAGCAAGGGCCGGGACGCGUCCCGGCCCGGAGAGUACCCGGAGAAAAAGCAUCGGCUAACUCCGUGCCAGCAGCCGCGGUAAUACGGAGGAUGCGAGCGUUAUCCGGAUUUAUUGGGUUUAAAGGGUGCGUAGGCGGGCUUUUAAAUCAGCGGUAAAAAUUAGGGGCUCAACCCCGUCCGGCCGUUGAAACUGGGGGC